Molecule: ribosomal RNA, 420 nt
Filed under: uncultured bacterium
Lineage: Bacteria
Description: partial 16S ribosomal RNA
Rfam family: Bacterial small subunit ribosomal RNA
Source: RNAcentral
AAUCUUCCGCAAUGGGCGAAAGCCUGACGGAGCAACGCCGCGUGAACGAAGAAGGCCUUCGGGUCGUAAAGUUCUGUCCUCAGGGAAGAAACCUCAUGGUAGGGAAUGACCACGAGCUGACGGUACCUGGGAAGGAAGCCCUGGCUAACUACGUUCCAGCAGCCGCGGUAAUACGUAGAGGGCAAGCGUUGUCCGGAAUCACUGGGCGUAAAGGGUACGUAGGCGGAUAUAUAAGUCAAAUGUGAAAGGCAUCGGCUCAACCGGUGAGCUGCAUUUGAAACUGUAUAUCUUGAGUUCAGGAGAGGAGAGCGGAAUUCCUGGUGUAGCGGUGGAAUGCGUAGAUAUCAGGAAGAACACCAGUGGCGAAGGCGGCUCUCUGGCCUGAAACUGACGCUCAGGUACGAAAGCUGGGGUAGCGAA